Rhipicephalus microplus (southern cattle tick) is the source of this 181-nucleotide long non-coding RNA. Lineage: Eukaryota; Metazoa; Arthropoda; Arachnida; Ixodida; Ixodidae. The record is from RefSeq and is a predicted model, not a curated record.
AGGUGAACCCAUUGACAAAAACAAACCACUUGAAUAUCCGUUACCUGCUUCACAAAAUACUCUUUACCUUGUGGGUUACUCCAAAGAACUUGAGAAGGCAGAGUACCCCUGCGUAGCGUCUAGUUUCUCCAGAUUUGGAGAAGGAUUUAUUCACCGGUUUCUCCUCUUGAAAAAAGCAAAG